Molecule: long non-coding RNA, 281 nt
Filed under: Homo sapiens (human)
Lineage: Eukaryota; Metazoa; Chordata; Mammalia; Primates; Hominidae
Description: HSALNT0372342
Source: RNAcentral
CAGCUUAUUCAACAUGAAGAUGAUGAGAAUGAGGACUUUGUGAUGAUCUUCCGCUUAAUAAAUGAUCAGCGGAGCAUCACUGGCUGUGUGGGGCUCCCUCCAGUAAGUAGGUCUAGGACCUUAGCCGCAUCUGCUGCUCAUCCCACAUCUUGACAAAAGUACACAAGAACCUCUAGUGCUUCCAUGUCUCCAAAUGCCAUCUCCAUUACACUUCAAAAUGCACCCCCAACCUAGGAUGAUUGGGCUGUCCUUCUUAGCUGAUAAAAACAGCAGAAAAACUU